RNAcentral lists this ribosomal RNA (483 nucleotides) under uncultured Desulfobulbus sp. RNAcentral describes it as "bacterial SSU rRNA". It matches the Rfam family "Bacterial small subunit ribosomal RNA", at positions 898 to 1382 of the family's 1533-position model. Lineage: Bacteria; Pseudomonadati; Thermodesulfobacteriota; Desulfobulbia; Desulfobulbales; Desulfobulbaceae. The record is from RNAcentral.
AACUUAAAGGAAUUGACGGGGGCCCGCACAAGCGGAGGAGCAUGUGGUUUAAUUCGAUGAUACGCGAGGAACCUUACCUGGGCUCGAACGUAAGAUGACUGUAGGUGAAAGCUUACAUCUCUUCGGAGCAUUUUACGAGGUGCUGCAUGGUUGUCGUCAGCUCGUGCCGUGAGGUGUCGGGUUAAGUCCCAUAACGAGCGCAACCCCUACCUUUAGUUGCCAUCAGUUCGGCUGGGCACUCUAAAGGGACUGCCGGUGUUAAACCGGAGGAAGGUGGGGAUGACGUCAAGUCCUCAUGGCCUUUAUGACCAGGGCUACACACGUACUACAAUGGCCGAUACAAAGGGCAGCGACACUGCGAGGUGAAGCCAAUCCCGUAAAAUCGGUCUCAGUCCGGAUUGGAGUCUGCAACUCGACUCCAUGAGGUUGGAAUCGCUAGUAAUCGUGUAUCAGCAUGCCACGGUGAAUACGUUCCCGGGCCUU